AGUUUUUCAAAUUGAAAAACAGUUGUCCCCAAGAUCGCCAUGAAGUGUGUUGUCCUAUUUUGCACAUUUGUUGCAUUUCUUAGUAUUGCCAUGCCACCUUAUGAUUGCGAUCCUGAAAGGUUCCGGUGCUCCUGAAAUCCGAAUCUAUCAAAUUAAAGGAUUUUCUUACUUAAAAUAAAAUAUUUUGUUUCCUUAAACCAAUAAAUAAAUUAGAAAAGGGAAUAAAAUAUAAAUGAGUAUGAAUAUACUGUAAUAUCAAUAAACAUUUUGGUUUAAAUAGCACUGCGUAGCAAACUUCUGACUAAGAAUAUAAUACUUAUAUUAUAAUUAUAAUAAUACAAAUUAUAAAUGUCUUAUAUCUAAUACACAUAUCAGUUUAUGCUAGUUAAGUAAAUCAAAGACCCAUGCUAAAUUUAAUUCGAUACAUAUUUUAAACAAUUAGUUACAGUUAAAAUCUAUACAAUGGUCUUUUAGGAGACUUCGGAUUAAAAAAUCAAUCCUUACAAGGCAGCUGAAAAGUAAAGUCAACUUAACGCAAAAAUCAAGAUCGCGAUGAAGUGUCUUGUCCUAUUUUGCACAUUUGUUGCAUUUCUUAGUAUUGCCAUGGAAAAACCUUAUGGUUGCCCAGGAGAAGGGUUCCGUUGCAAUUAUGUCUUAAUUUAAAAAUUUAAAUGAAUAAAGAAUUAAAGCAAAUAAA
Drosophila kikkawai is the source of this 697-nucleotide non-coding RNA. NCBI's taxonomy places the organism in Eukaryota, Metazoa, Arthropoda, Insecta, Diptera, Drosophilidae. The record is from RefSeq and is a predicted model, not a curated record.